CUUGGAUUUGACGGCAGUUCGGCUUCGGCGACAGAAGAGGCGACAUCGGGAGCGACAUCAGUAGCAAAGCGGGUUCCUCAGAGCGACGAUGGAGAGAGAGAGAACGAUGACCAUUGCGCGAUGCAAGCAAAUCAGGACAUCAACGAGUCUCUCCAAAGAUCCACUCCUCUCCAUCCUGUUCCGGUAGAGAUGGAUCUGCAACACAUGAGACGUACAACUCCUUUUUUUGCGGAGGUCGCAUAUCUUCCAACGUCGGAGAUGCUGUCGCCGCAGUUAUGACCCCCUGGACUUCCCCUGUUCAUCAGGGGGAGUCCAGGGACCCGUCCCCUGGGACUGCGCGGCCUCCCACCGCCCCCGGGGUCCCAGGGGACCCAGUCCC
RNAcentral lists this unclassified non-coding RNA (379 nucleotides) under Athalia rosae (coleseed sawfly). RNAcentral's name for it is "misc RNA ENSAEAG00005003595.1". The record is from RNAcentral. Lineage: Eukaryota; Metazoa; Arthropoda; Insecta; Hymenoptera; Athaliidae.